RNAcentral lists this ribosomal RNA (301 nucleotides) under uncultured bacterium. RNAcentral's name for it is "partial 16S ribosomal RNA". It matches the Rfam family "Bacterial small subunit ribosomal RNA", at positions 509 to 807 of the family's 1533-position model. The record is from RNAcentral.
CAGCCGCCACGGUAACACGGAGGGUGCAAGCGUUAAUCGGAAUUACUGGGCGUAAAGCGCACGCAGGCGGUCUGACAAGUCAGAUGUGAAAUCCCCGGGCUUAACCUGGGAACUGCAUUUGAAACUGUCAGGCUGGAGUCUUGUAGAGGGGGGUAGAAUUCCAGGUGUAGCGGUGAAAUGCGUAGAGAUCUGGAGGAAUACCGGUGGCGAAGGCGGCCCCCUGGACAAAGACUGACGCUCAGGUGCGAAAGCGUGGGGAGCAAACAGGAUUAGAUACCCCGGUAGUCCCUGUCUCUUAUAC